Molecule: non-coding RNA, 536 nt
Organism: Salvia hispanica
Lineage: Eukaryota; Viridiplantae; Streptophyta; Magnoliopsida; Lamiales; Lamiaceae
Source: RefSeq, a predicted model, not a curated record
GUAAAUAAGGGCCGAGUAUCUGUUUAGAGAAAAUAGAAUUUCUCCAAAGUUAAUAAAGAGAAUAAAUAAACUCUGCAGAGUAGUAAAGCCGAGGUAGGAUUAAGAAAAAUCCUAUAAGACGAGACUGAGAUAUAGGUGCUAUCCAAUAGGAUGCAUGCAUUCUUUCUAAAGAGAAAUAAUUCAAGUAUUAAUUAGCGUGCUACGCUAUUUAUUUUCAAGGGAUAAAUUGCCCAAGGGCGAGUGAGGCCGAAGCGAGUAUUUGAGUUGAGACAUAAGCAUAUCAGGUUGAACGUCAAGAAGAUGGAGAAAUGAUCGGAGUCGAUACUACUAAAUAAUACAGUGGAUCUUUUCACGAUUCGUGUCUUCAUACACGAAGUCGUCUAGUAUGGACUUAUUCCGCUGCUCUUUUGUGAAGUGAGACAUCUUAGAAUCUCACCUUCGAACUCUGAUUUAUUGAUGUAAUAUUUAUUCUAAGCUCGAAGACCAUGUAAUGGUACAUUUGGCUUCUAUUCUAUGAUAUGAAUUGACUUGGCCUU